AAUAGAUACCCGGGUAGUCCACGCCGUAAACGAUGAGUGCUAAGUGUUAGAGGGUUUCCGCCCUUUAGUGCUGCAGCUAACGCAUUAAGCACUCCGCUUGGGGAGUACGGCCGCAAGGCUGAAACUCAAAGGAAUUGACGGGGGCCCGCACAAGCGGUGGAGCAUGUGGUUUAAUUCGAAGCAACGCGAAGAACCUUACCAGGUCUUGACAUCCUCUGCCAACCCUAGAGAUAGGGCGUUCCCCCUUCGGGGGACAGAGUGACAGGUGGUGCAUGGUUGUCGUCAGCUCGUGUCGUGAGAUGUUGGGUUAAGUCCCGCAACGAGCGCAACCCUUGAUCUUAGUUGCCAGCAUUCAGUUGGGCACUCUAAGGUGACUGCCGGUGACAAACCGGAGGAAGGUGGGGAUGACGUCAAAUCAUCAUGCCCCUUAUGACCUGGGCUACACACGUGCUACAAUGGAUGGUACAAAGAGCUGCGAACCCGCGAGGGUAAGCGAAUCUCAUAAAGCCAUUCUCAGUUCGGAUUGC
RNAcentral lists this ribosomal RNA (527 nucleotides) under uncultured bacterium. RNAcentral's name for it is "bacterial SSU rRNA". It matches the Rfam family "Bacterial small subunit ribosomal RNA", at positions 777 to 1301 of the family's 1533-position model. The record is from RNAcentral.